UCCUCCUCCUCCUCCUCUCCUUUUUUUAUGAGAGAGAGAGGUGGGGGGGGGGUGGCGGUACAGAGAGAGAGGGAGACAGAAUCGGAAGCAGGCUCCAGGCUCUGAGCUGUCAGCACAGAGCCUGACGCACGGCUCGAACUCACAAACAGCAAGAUCAUGAUCUGAGCCAAAGUCGCACGCUUAAACAACGGAGCCACCCGGGCGCCCCAUGAUCUGAUAUAUUUUUUAAAAGAAUUGUCUCAAAACAGAGAAUGGGUUGUAAAGGUUGUAAAUGUGUAUGGAGUCGGGUAAGAGUUGAAGCAAGCGGAUAUGUGAGUAGGCUCUUGAAGUUGUUGAGGUGGGAGACAAAGGUGGCAUUGACCAGGAACUUUCUUCGAAGUUCAUUUUAAAUCAGCACUGUCAGAGCACUUCAGCCUUCCCUAAUCUUCUCUUGUUCCAACUUCCAGACUACUUGUACUCUAAAGAUACAGUGUAAUAUUUAAUUUUACUAAUCCUGUUUCCUUCCCCAGGCUGCAUUCUCCAAGAGCAGUGAUUUAUAUUUCCUCGUGCUCAGUGAAGUGUGGACAUAAUUGAUGCCCGUUAAAAAAUUAUGUUCUUAUUACAGAAUUUUAGACACCACUUUCUUGAAUUUUCCAAAGUAAAGGAGCAUCAACUAGAUGAUGCAGAAGAAUCACUUGAAAACUUACUUAAGUAUAAAUGAUUGACCUAUGACUCAAAUUAUACAAAAGAGAGAAAAAAAGAAAAGGAAAGCCAGCAAGCACUUUAUAAGUUAGUCGAGUAGGACUUGAGGUUAAGAAUUAAGAAGCAAAGUUGAAAUUUAAAACCUAAAAGUAACAUUAAUUGCCAGGAUAGAGACAUUAUAGAAGUACAUUUUGAAAUAACAUCAGUGGCCAUAUUAGUUUUUCAAGUCGCACCCACAGAUAUAAGUAACAAUUUUUGAUCUUCUUGAAGUGCAAAUGUUUUUACCACCCCCCUCCUCCAGAGUAUACAUGAUUUUUCUCUAACAUCUGCAUAUAGCUUGUAAUGUAAAACCAUAAAGUAAGAGAAAAAAGUUUCUCAAUCAAAUGGUUAGAAUACGUAUUACAAUUACUUGUAAUAUUUUGUACUUUGUUAAUAAUAGGUGUCAUUUAAUGGAAAGUUUUAAGUUGUAUAUUUUAAAAUGUUUACAGCAAAUUACGUGACCAGUCUCAAAGUAACCCUAAAUAGACAGUGUGAAUUAGGAUGUGUUCUUUCCAUGUCUCCCCCACCCAGCACAAGCACAUACACACGAACUGGGUUUUGCCAAGAGAUUAUUCUAAGGAUAUGUUUUAAAUGUUUAAAAAAAAAAAACAAAAACAAAAAAAAAACAACUAAGGCUUUUAAGACAGAAAUGGUUUUUUUUUUUUUUUUUUUUUGUUUUUUUUUUUUUUAGACAAUAGUUGUUUAAUGAGCUGCUCGUAUAUACAAGAGAAGAGAAUGGGCCUGAUUGCUCAAUCUGAUGUUUGAAAAAGUAUUUUUCCGGAUCUUAUACAUUUGCAUAUCUAAUUGCCAUGUAAUCAAAACUAAGUGAACUGUAGCUGCUUGAAACUCUGAAAUGAAAAGCAAUCAUCUGUACGGGGAGGAGGGGGAACCCCCUUCCAUGCAAGCUAGCCUGAAUAUUAGCAUUAUAGUCUUCUUGUGUUUAAUUAUAGGUGUUUGACUGAGCAGUAAAUGUCUGCUUGUGUAAUAGAGAAGUGAAUGUGACCCUGAAACACCCGCUAUGCUUUUUGGUAACAGAGCAUUGGCUUUGAGAGAAGUUAGCCUCCAUUGUGUAUUUUGACGAUAAGGGAUUGUGCCAUAAUGGCUGUUAAUUACCUGCUUUGUCUGAUAUGGAAAGUAGAGGUUCCACAUUUUUUUCCCUCCCAAUGGCAGCACUCAAUUAAAAUGUGUGUAUUAAGCAGCUACGGUGCCCUUCUCUAUUUGUUGGGAAGACAUGAGGUAAGGAAAAACGGACUUGACUUUUUUUGCAGCUGUUUGAUGGCAGUUUUGUUUUUGGGUACAUCCCUUGAGAAUAGAAAAAUAUUUACCCCAAUACGUGUUCUUUAGACUUCGAUAGACUUGACCAUUGUAUUUUAUUAUUUUUUGCUGCCUCACAUACUAGAUGAAAAAAAAAUGUUUUUAAUGUUUAUUUAUCUUUGAGAGAGAGCAGGAGCUCCAGCUAACGGGGGGAGGGGCAGAGAGAGAGGGAGACCGAAUCUGAAGCAGGUUUCAGCAGCACGGAGCCUUGGGGCUGAAACUCAAGUCACAGGACUUGGGGCUCAAACUCCUGGACCCUGAGAUCAUGACUUGAGCUGAAGUCGGACGCUCAACUGACUGAGCCACCCAGGCGCCCUGACACAUACUGUAUUCUUAAUAUUCUCAAAUGUCAUGCGGAAGGUUUGUAGCUACUGGCUACCAGAGAAUUUCACACUACUUAAAAGCCCCUUUCAUAUUUUAACUGCUUUCAGCUUUUUUUUUUGUAAAGUUUUCCUUAUUGUCAAAUAAAAUUACGCCUUAGUGUGGAAUCAGUUUACCUUCCUAUAGCUUGGGUCUUGAACCUGGGUAAUUUGAAUAGUUAACAGCCACUGAGGUCUGCUGUCGGGAGAGUUCAGGUAAUAUAUGUAAAGGAUGUGAAAAGUGUCUCUCCAUCCUGUGUGCUGUUCGGUGCUCUUCUGCUCGGUGCCAGUUCUUUUAGUGUUGUUUGCCCCUGAAAUGUUUUCCUUUAAAUAAAAGUUUUUAUGAAUAUAUUGUGGUAAAUUGCCAAUAUGCAUGUUCUUCUGUGCUCUGCCUGCUGUCACGCGCUCAGCCAGUGAAUGUUCGUGUAGUGGCUCACGUCUGUCUCAGCACGAUGCGUCAUACUGCAGCGCGGUCAGCACUUGAGUGCUCUGUGUUGUGUGUGGUUUACGCUGACCUCUCUGCCAUUUGCUUUUUGUCCUUGAAAUUGACUUUGACCUCCAGUGGCCCAUGAAGGGUGUGCAAAGCACAGUUAUGGACAGUCUCCUGAAUGAGAAAAUAAGACAUUUAAUGAGGGUUCUGGGUAUUUUCAGGAUAAACAACUAACAGAGGCUAAGGGUCAGCAAGAAUAAGUAUGUGACCUAGGAAAAUUGGCCAAGGAUAGCUGGAAGAAAGGAUUUGGAAAAUCCUGAAUUAUUAAUAUCAGUCAAAAUGGAAGAGGAAAUACAUUGUCUGUGUUUUAAUAUAUAUGGUGUAUAAAUUAAACCCAAAAGCAAUGAAUGUACUGUGCUAGCAUAGCCGUAUAGAAUUUAGGCGUCAGAGAAGACUCUGUGUGUGUGUGUAUGUGUGUGUGUGUGUGUGUGUGUGUGUGUGUGUGUGUUGUGUACAUAUGUGUAUGUGUAAGUAUAUGUUUACUGUGUGUAUAUAUAUGUGUAUAUAUAAUUUGAGCAUCUAAACUCCUAAAAUUUUGAAGAAAAUAAUUUUUAGUCAUUCCCGACAUUUUAUUUAUAUUAUUACUGUUCAGGUGUUGAAGGAGGGUAGAGAUUAUUGGUAUAUAUACAGUUUCUUCCUUUUUACUUUGGAAAUGCACAGUGGGUUAAAUAGGGGUUAUUUGACAGAAUACUAUUCUUUAUGAAUUUUUGGAGGCAGUGGAGCUUACACAUAAAUCUAAAGUUGGUUUUCGAUAAUUUAAACUGAGAGAGCAGGGUCAGCCUGGGACCAGUGUUAUGAUAAACGAUUCAGGGUGUGACCCUACAAAAUAUUAAGCACUUGAUGAAACUGUAACUAGGAUUUCUUUAAAAAUUCCUGAAAGUUUUACCUUCUUAGAAUUUUUGUGCUUAAAAGGACUCCACUGUAUUUUGAAUCUAAUAGAAAAAUAAUUGUUAUUCUGUUUAGGGUAAACUUGAAAUUUAUAUUGUUGUCAUUAUCAUUUUAAAUGUAACUUUCAUACAUGAGUUUACUAACUUUCCCUUUCCUUUUAAAAAGCUUAAUAGUUCUGAAUCCAGACACUUACUCUAAAGCUUCAUUUGAAAAACAUGGCUGAUUUCUUUUGACCCUCUGAAAAUUCCUUUCCCAAGUUAUUUGAGAAAAUUUUUGCGUUUUAAUAAACUUCAUUAAUUGAGAUAAAGUGAUCAGAGAGAUGUCACUUUUUCUUGGGAAGUUUUCCCAACUUAAAUUUUUUUUUUUUUUUUUAACAUUUAUUUAUUUUUGAGAGAGAGACAGCGUGAGCAGGGGAGGGGCAGAGAGAGAGGGAGACACAGAAUCCGAAGCAGGCUCCAGGGUCCGAGCUGUCAGUGCAGAGCCCGAUGCGGGGCUCGAACUCACAAACCAGGAGAUAGUGACCUGAGCCGAAGUCAGACGCUUAACUGACUGAGCCACCCAGGCUCCCCAGGAAGUUUUCCCGACUUAAUUGACAUUUUGUUGUGGUGUAAUUAGUGUUUUGAAGUGUUAUUUUAUUUAAAAAAGUAAUUAGGGACUCAGUUGGUAAAAUGUGAGUAAUUGAGAGUUGUAUGAUUAAAAAAUAUGCCUAAAUUAUGUGAAGGACAUCCACAGCCGCAGGAAAUUUCAUUGUACAAAUGAGGAAGAGUAACCUUUUAGGUCACAUUAUUUGUGAUCUCUUCAGUGUUUCCAAGUCCCUAGUCUGUGUUUUGGAUCCUGUUUGAAUUUUUAAAAAUCCUUUUCUAAGUUUUCAACAAUAUAUUCAGACAAAGUUAGCUGUUUUGUACUCCAUCGAUCCCAUACUAAUGCAUAUCUCCAUUCAAGCACUUAAUAUAUUUUUUGUGGUUGAUUACAGAGUGUUUCUCAGAGUGAGAACUUUGUCCUAAUCAGCCCUGGAACAUACACAGGGCUUGGCACAGGAAUCCUUAAUUAGUGUUUCCCUUAGAAUCUUGUAUUCGAGUUAUUAACUGAACUCAUCUCUACUGUUGAAUUAAUUUUCUAUUUUCAUAUAUAUUUUUAGUUCUUUCAGUAUUAUAAGAUUUAUUUUGUUUUCUUUUUUUUAUGUCUAUUUUUUUUAUUUUGUGGGGGGAGAGAGAGCGAGAAAACGCCUGUGAGCAGGGGAGGGGCAGAGAGAGAGGGAGACACAGAAUCCAAAUCAGGUUCCAGGCUCUGAGCUGUCAGCACAGAGCCCGAUGCGGGGCUCGAACCCAGAAACUGUGACAUCAUGACCUGAACCGAAGUCAGAUGCUUAACCAAAUGAGCCACCCAGGCACCCUUUGUGUUAGAAGAUUUAUAUUGUCCGAUAGCUGUGUUUGUUAAUGUGUAUGUGUUUUUUCCUCCUGUCAAUCAGAAACACAUAACUGUACGCAGGGACUAAAAUGGAAAACUCACUCCAUUCUGCGAUAAUUAUGGGCUACAUGGACAGGAGAUGGACUCUGAGCAUGAGUAACGGGAAUUGGAGCCAGUUUCACAGAAGUACUGGGUUUUGGGGUGCGCUGUGCCACUUGUGGAUAGAGGCUAAAUUCUAUGACUGUCACCUAGGAAAUGUUUCUAGUGGUAAGAGGAAGGAGAGAGUAUUUAUCUAUAAUCAGGGCCAAGCUGCCUGCUGGUUUGAAUACCGGAUUAUCACUAUCCUUCUGGAAGAAAUAGAACUUUGAAGUAAGGCCUUCUGCUUCCAGUAAUAAAUGAAUAAAUUCCUGUCAAGAUAGAUUCAUGUACAGAGAGCAACUCUAAGAUACAGAUAUAGAUACAGAUAGAUAUAUAAAAUACAAGAUUACCCCUUGUAUUAUACAUGAAUACAUCAAGGCACUGGGGAAGAAUACAAGCAGAGUUUAGAGGAGGGAACCUUAUAUUUUGCCUGGCUUCCCCCCCACUCCAGGGGUCAAGCACAGUAGGUGGCACUAAUUCUAACCUAGAGGAUAUCCCUAUUGUUGAGAAAGGAGAAUCCAGGAAGGAAAAGAGACAGGAGAAGAAAUCCCUACGUUCUUGCUAACCCCUGAAUCACACACAUGUAGAACAGACUUAAAGGAUCUCGGGUGAGGAUCUGAACUGAGACCAGACUCUGCACCCAAGAAACAAAGUUUGCAGUUCUGAAUUGAAUCAGGACAGUUGCUUACUAAAGUGGUAAUAAAUCUUCAAAAGAAAAAAACAAAAGCCAGAAUCAGCAUAUAGUUCAAAAUUAAAACUUGAAGAUUAAUCACAUUCUACAAUCAACUGAUUCGAAUCUCCAGAUGUUGAAAGUAACAAAACACAUAUUUUAAAGUAGCUGUUAUAAUGAUCCUCAUAAGGUAAGACAAAAUACAAAAUGAUCGAAAAUCUUAGCAGAGAACCAGAAACAAUAAAAAAGACCAAAUGGGAAUUCCAGAACUGAAAAUAGAGUAUCUGAAGUAAACCAUUUAUGGGUGGAUGGAUUUAACUGCUGAAGAAGGAGUGUGCAGAUUUGAAGACAGAGCAGUAGAAACUGUCUGUUGUGAAUAACAGGGAGAGGAAAAAAUUGAGGUAAAGGUAAUAACAUGUCAAAUGGUCUACCUAACAUAUCUGUAAUCGGAGUUCUAUAAGGAAGAGCGAGCAAAUGAAAUAAAAAUAAUUGAAGAAAUAAUGGCAGAGGAUCUCAAAAAUUUGUUGAAAGACAUAAACUUGUAGAUGUAAGAUGCUUAUCAUAGAACAAUCAGAAUGAACACAAAGGGGGGGGCACUGUAGCACCUUAGAGCAGGACUGUUGGACACCUUAUAAAGCAGCAAGAGAAAAAUCACACCUUUAACAUACAGAGGAAAAAUACAAUUAAUGGCUGACUUAUUAUCAGGCCAGAAAAGAGUAAAACAUCCUUUAAAUAUCCUAACAGAUGAGUAUUGUCAACCCUGAAUUCUGUAACCAUUGAGAAUGCUGUAACCAUCUUCCAAGUGAAGAGGAAAUAAAGCCAUUGGAAAUGAAAGAUUAGUUCAGAGAAUUUCUUGGCAGCAGAUGUACAGAGUGGAGAAACUAAAGAGGACUUUUUCCAACUUCAGAGAAAUGAAAUGAGAGCACAUAGAAAGUUACUUAGAGAUGAACGCCAGUAAUGAUAAAUUCCUGGGUAGAUAGAAAAUAUUUUUUGAGGGGGAGGACGGGUAUUUUUCCUCUUAGUUUCUUUAAUACGUAUAGCUGUUUAAUGUGGAAGAAAUAGCGUUGUCCUGUGGAGUUUUAAACUUAUGUAUGUGUAAACAUGGACCUAUGUGGUGGUUACGAGUUUCUGCAUUUGUGUGAAGUUGUAAAACGUUAGUCAUAAGUGGACCUUGAAAAGUUAAAGAUUUAUAUUGUAACCCUCAGAGCAGCCACUGAAAACAAUAAUACAAAGAAGUACAGAUAAAAAUGCACUGAGGAAAACUAAAGUGGAAUUGUAAAAAUAUAUUGAAAUAGUGUAUUUUUAAAAGUUGGAAGAGGAAACAGAGGAACAAAAACAGAGGCUACAAAUAGAAAGCCAGUAAUAAAGUUGGUAGCUGCCAGAAAUCUCGUUUUAUCGGGGCUCCUGGGUGGCUCAGUCGGUUGAGCGUCCGACUUCGGCUCAGGUCAUGAUCUCACAGUCUGUGAGUUCGAGCCCAGCCCUCUGAGCUGUAAGCACAGAGCCCGGAGCCUGCUUCAGAUUCUGUGUCUCCCUCUCUCUGCCCCUUUCCCACUCACGCUCUGUCUCUGUCUCUCAAAAAAAGAAUUAACGUUAGAAAAAAAAAUUAAAAAAAAAAAAAAAGAAACCUCGUCUUAUCAAUAAUGGCAUUAAUUUGCCAGUGGAAGAAACACCCCUAUGAAAAGGGAGAGGUUACCAAAAUGGAUUGAAAACACUAAGGCACACUUGUAGACUAUAAAGCAUAUAGCUGUUAUAAACUAUACAGUUUCUCAAGAAGAAAAGUUGUAAAUAAAAGUAGGUUGAAAAUAAAUAGGUGGAAAAAGAGCAAGAAAACAGCACAAGGUUGGAAUGACUAUUAAUAUCAGAUAAAAUAGAUUUCAAGAGAAAGCAAUUCAUAUCAAGUAAAGAGAAUGUUUCAUAAUGAUAAAAAGUCAAUUUAGCAGGAAGUGCGAAAAGUGAUCGUAAAUGUAUAUUCACUUGAUACAGUGUCACUCUACUGUAUGAAACAAGAAUUGCCUAAAGACAAAUAAUUCCAGGAUCAGACUGAAAUUCUAACUUUUUCAGCAGCUGAUAGAAUGAAACUAAAACUCCUCAAAGACUGAGAAGAUCUGAACAUUAUUAUGAGCUGCCUUGACAUUAUUGGGGUUUAUAAAACAUUACACUUGACAACUGAGUGAACAUGGUGCAUUCACCAGUAUAAAAUAUUUCCUAGGCCAUAAAGUGAGAAGCUUGAAAUUAGACCAAGGAUGAGCUGUGACUAAAAUGAAAUUCAGCCCAAAUAUUUGGAAAUUGAACAACACACUUCUGUAUAGUCCAUGGCUUAAGAGAUGUCACAAGAAAAAUUAAAAGGUAUUUUAAACCAAAUAACAAUGAAAAUGGGACAUAAAAUUUGUGAAGUAAGGCCAAAGCAGUGUUUACAGGGAAUUUAUUUCCAAAAAUGUUCAUAUUUUUAGAAACUUAAAUCAGUUAUUUAAUUUUCUUCCUAUUAGGGGACAUCACUAUGGACCCUAUGGACAAUAAGAGACUUUAAGGGAAUAUUCUGAGCAACUAUAAGCCAAUAAAUUUGACAACUUAGAUGAAAAGUCUUUGGAAAAUAUAUUAUUACCAAGAAGUAACAGAAAACUUGAAUAGCCUGUAAUGCUUAAGCUGAAUUUGUAAUAAAAACUACCCCACAAAGAAAAUGUGAAGCCUGGGUGGCUACACUAACGAGUUUUAUCAAACUUUAAGAAAGGAUGGGGGGCACCUGAGUGGCUCUGUUGAAUGUCUGACUCUUGAUUUUGGCUCAGAUGGCUCAGAUCAUGAUCUCAUGGUUUGUACGAUUGAGCCCUGCAUCUGGCUCCACACUGUCAGUGCUUGGGAUUCUCUCUCUCUUGUCUCUCUCUCUCUCUCUCUCUCUCUCUCAAAAAUAAACAUUUAAAAAACUAGGGGCGCCUGGGUGGCUCAUUCAGUUAAGCGUCUGACUUUGGCUCAGGUCACGAUCUCGCAGUUCAUGAGUUCGAGCCCCACGUCAGGCUCUGUGCUGACAGCUCAGAGCCUGGAGCCUGCUUCCGAUUCUGUGUCUCCCUCUCUCUCUGCCCCUCUCCCGCUCAUGCUCUUUCUCAAAAAUAAACAAAAUUUUUUAAAAUAAAAAAUACUAAAAAUUUUAAGAAUAUGAAUCUAUGAAAUCUUUCAUGAAAGAUAGAAUGAAUAUUCCACUUCCAUUACCAUAGAUUGGUAAUUACCAGUAUUGCCAUGAUACCACCGGAAAAAGAAAAUAAGGGUCAAUAUUCCUCAUUCAUGCAGAAAUUGUUAAUAAAACUUCAACAAAAUUCUAAGUUAUAUACAAGAUCAGUCCAAUAAGAAGAGAUCAUGGUCUUAAAUUUGUAUAUACCAAGUAGCAUAGCUUGAAAAUACAUAUAAAGUAAAACUUACCGGAACUAAAAGAACUCAAAUCCACAUUCAGAAUUUUAACACAACUCUAAACAACUAAUAAAUAACUGAUAAAACAAGCAGACAGAAAGUUAAGAAUGUACAAGACCUGAACAACACAGCGAGCAGGUUUGACCUAAUUAACGACAACGACAACAACAAAAACAUUACACCCAACAGUGGCAUAAUUCAUUCUUCUAAAGAGUGUGGAACAUUUUGCCACAUUGUGUGCUGGGCCAAUAAAGAAAGCCUCAGCAGAGUUCAGAAGUCUGAAAUAAUUCAUUGUGCUUUUUAAUCACAAUGGAAUUGAGCUGGAAAUCACCUAGAAAGUAAAAAUUAAGUGUUGGCCGUAAAUGAGGUACAUUUUAACUUCAGGAUCUGGAAAGAACAGUAAAGUAGAUGAAAGCAAGGGAAAAGAAAGAAGUAAAGCAAAGAGUAAAAAUUUAAUAAAUAGUGCAGGUGCUGCAUGUUGAUGAUUCACAAAAAUAAAAGCUGGUUGUUGUUUUUUUUGUUGUUGUUGUUGUUUUUUGAGAAUUCACCAAAUAAAUAAACUCGGAUAAAACCGAGGAGGAUAAAAGGAGGAGAUAGAACAAAAUCUGAAGUCCUCAAAUGCAGCACCGUUACGUACCACCACGGAGAGAGAAUAAAGCAACCAAAUAAGUUGACAGAGAGUUUGCUAUUCACAUAGAAUUUGUAUUUAUAUAGAGAUUUACUUACCCUGUCUUUUCAUUAGAGUCUGUGAUAGGUGUUAAAAGACAAGUACAAGUGAAAUGAAUUUCUAAGAACUUCCAGACAGUUCUGUGUCACCUUUUUACUCAGUCAUGUUUUCCAUGCCAUAGAUAAUCUAACCAGGAAUGUUGUUGAUGCAGCAUUUUUUUAAAGGAGUACUUUAUGUUCCCUGGUGUUUUUUUCCGUAAGCCAUUGCAAGUUUAAGACGUAUUGUUGUUAAGAAGAGCAAAGAGUCUGAAGCUAACAAGAUAAGUUGCUACCACAGUUUUAAGGAUGCUGGUGGAAGACCUGAGACUUCCUGGAUCAGAGAUCAGACUGUAUUAUAAUCAUACAGUCUGCAAAGCAAGAACAGAGGAUCUUCAUAUUUGCACCGAUUCUCUUGGUGACCCCCAGUCCCCGGUUGACAUGUGUAUACUCAGUGGGCUGCGUUGCUAAGAGGAGCCAGGGCCAAGGUCCCAGCACUUAUGAAGAAGCAACAGACAAUACAGUUUCCUACCUCAGGGCAGUAAGCUGUAAGAUGUGUCCCCUUGACCUGUUGAGUUGCCCGUGUGGCUGACGACAGAAAUUGCACAGUUGGAGGAAAGAGAGAAGCCUCGCGUCCUGGCUCCGCUGUGGGAACGUGCAGGGCUGCCCAGGGCUUGUUGCAGUCUGCCUCUCCCAGCGGUAGUUCUGCAGGGACAGCUGUGGCCGACUGCUGCCUUGCAUUUGCAGUAUUCGUGAUACACCGCUGGUUUCAGAGAUGUUACAGUAUUUUUAAGGAAAUACCUGAGAAUCGAUGACAUACCGUAAGUAAAUAUUAAGAAUGGAAAUGAAGACCGAAUUCGAAAUACUGGAGAUAGUUUUUAAAUCGUGGAAAAUGCAAUGAACAACUUCAGAGCUAUAUAUUUGAAAACUUCUAUAACUUAAAUUCUGUAUUUUAUAGAUACUUGUUUCUGAAUCAAUUUUUAUAGUCCAUAAAAUCUCACAACAAAUGCUUUUUUCUUAUCAGAGAAUAUAAUAAAACAUUUUUGUAUGGAACUGAAUUGAUUCAGAAUUUUGGGGACAGUAAAACUGACCAUUGGGACGUUUCUAAAAGGAAAGUAGAACAAAAUGGAGGGGUACCUUGAGUGCAUUUACUGUCUGUCAUUUGAUUGUUUAUAUUACUGAGGGACAGCAGGUAGGCUGUGGAAUCAGACUAAGAGCUGUUCUAGUCGUGUGUGUGUGUGUGUGUAAAGAAGGGAGUAGAUGCAGAGGAAGGGCAAAUGAAAUGCGGAAGGCAUGACUAUUCAAUAAAUGGUGUUAAGAUAAUUAGAUUUGCAUAUUGCAAAAGUUGUUCCAGGUGAAUUAAACAUCUAAAAGUGAAGAGCAAAAAACCUUAACCACUGGAACAAAUGGUAGGAGAACAUAUUUGUGACUUCUGGCCAAGGAAGGAUUACAGACUAGAAAACACAUUAAAGAAGGUGGAUGGCUACGACUACACUGGAAAAAAAAAGUCGUGUUAUGUGAAAGAUACUAAACUGUUUGAAGACAGGCCACACAGAGUGUUUGUAUUUAGAGUAUGUAAAGAAUUCAUUCAAAAACAAAAAGAAGACCACAGAUCCAGUAGAAAACUGGGCAAAAUAUGUGAAAAAGGCAUUUCACAUUAACAGGAAACCUGGAUGAACAAUGACUACAUGAAGAUGGCUUACUUUGUUAUUACUCAGGGGAAUAUGCACAUGCUGAUGUACAGUGUAAUGACAGACAUCCUGUGAGUUGUCAGAAUAAAAAUACUACCUAGGUUAAAUGUGGAGAAACCGAACUCUCAUGCAGGGAAGUUGGGAGUAUAAAUUGGUACAAAAACCUUGAAGAGCGGUUAGGCAGUGUCUGUUAAUUGUACGGGUUUGUUUGUUUGUUUGUUUGUUUAUUAAAGAUCUCGUCUUUAAUAAACUGCACUUUUAUCACUUCCUUAAGGAGACUCCUUUACGUGUCCUUUACAUAUCUGUCUGGGAGAUGGCCAUGAGGAUGUUCACUGCACCAUUAUUUAUAAUAAUAAACUACUGGGAACGGUGUAAAUGGCCAUUAAUGGGCAGAUGGAAAUCCUGGUCUCUUCACAUAAUAGAGUAUCAUGUGACAAUGAAAAGGAAUCCAUUUGAUCGGGUACGCUGGAUUCAACAUAUACUCAGCCGUGAAAUUGUGAUUUUCAAAAAAGGGCCCAGUUUUUAAUAAUUAUUCUAGGUACUUUUCAGUGUUUAAAAGUAUUAGUGUAUUCUUUCCACACAGAACAAUUUGUAAAGGGACCCUUACCACAUGGGUGAUAGGGUGAUACAUCAUUCUGUAUGGGAGAUGGAAUUUUGAGAGAUUUUUUUGUGUCUAAUUUAUUAAACAGGAGGCACUUUAAUUAUUGAAUACUUAGGGAUUUUUUGGAGGGCAUUGGUAAUUAUUUACUGUUUUCUACUUAAAGUACAAAAUUAGUCUAGCAAUUGAUUGUUCAUCAGUGAUGAAAGCUUUUCACUUUUGUUUUUACCUUUCUCAAAUCUUUCACCUCAUUAUGAUGUAAUCUGUUCAGUUAUAUAGGGUAUUAUUUUCAAAGACUGCCCUCUCAUGAUUGAAUAAUAACUAAGUACAGUUGUAUUCCUAGAUAUUAGGGUAAAAAUGAGAUUAAUAUCUUUCUGUAGUUUAUUAAUAUCUUAAGAGUACAGGCUAUUUGUAGAAAGUUAAAAAUCUGUAUGCACACACACAGCAUCACAGUACACAUACGUGCAUUCUGCUGUUGUCGCUUGCAACUCAAUGUGGAGGUCUUUUUGGAUAAAGUGAGGAUUUCUAAAAAUUCAUCUUAAAGUAUUUGUGGACUUAAAUAUCUGGUUAAAUUUGGGGGUUUACGGCCUUUUCAGUGGGCCUUUAAUGCUUUGAUGACAUUUCAAGAACGCUUUUCAUUUUCUCUAUCUUAACUACUUUCACUCGUAUUUAUUGAAUAAGGAUUAAUCCAACAUGUUUAUUAAAGAAGUUAUUUUUUCACAACAAAAUGAAUUCUUCCUUUCUUAGCAGUGUGGAUUUGGAGCAGCUUAUUUGACAUUCUGGAAUAGUUUUUAAUUUAUUUAGUCUAAAUACUCCUAUACAUUGUGACUGCUGUGAAAUACAUUGACCAAUCAAUGUGGUCUCUUGCAUUCAUGCCACAAUUAAUGGCUUUGGUGGCUUAAUGGGAUCCUUCCAUUUUAUUUUAUAAUUUUUGUUACGGUGAAACUUUAAAGAUAAGUGUACUGGUCAGCGUUCUCCCAAAGAAGCAGCAGCGGGUGGGGACACACACACGCACACACGGACUUAUGAGGAAUUGGCUUUACACAAUUGUGCCUUCUUCUAUUUGUGGUCCUCCAGAGCAGGCAGUCAGAAAGAUCCAGAGGGAAGGGAAGUGUAGACUCAUUUGGUGUUGGGAGUAUUUUGAGUUUAGAGAAGGACUUAUCCCUUCUUUAAAGGGUUCCAACUGAAUAACUCAGGCUCACCCAGGAUAAUCUUCCAUUUGAGUAAAGUCAGCUGCUUAGUGACUUUAAUUACACCCACAGAAUCCUUUCACAGCAGCACCUAGAUUAGCGUUUAGUUGAAUAGCUGGGCCAAAGUGUGCAUAUGCUAAUGGCCAUUCCCUCCUUUCUGUCUUCCAGCUCUUGGGAAGGAAUAUACCUUAUUGUUCACCCUAAUCGGUAACACACUAGAAUGAAAUUCUGGCAACCUAGCUAAGUUCAGCCUAGCUAAGUUGACACACCCCGAUAACUAACUUUUCUCCUUAAAUAGGAACCCCCUUUAUUUUGAUUAUUGAUAUUAAAGGAUAAUUUUCAUUGAUGAGCAAGGGAUGUAAAUUUAGAUAUUAUUAGAAGAUACAUUAUCUCUUUCUAGGAGGUUAAGAGCAACUCAGGAAUCAUGUGGUCCAUUUUUGGUCUGGAUUUAGUUUAUAUUUAACAGAUAGGUUUGCUUGUUCCUGCCUACCCUGUUGUUUAUUUUCCUCCCUCUCAUCAGUUUUACAUGUUUAGUGUACAAAUGCCUUUUAACAUUUUACAUGAAGAGAAGUGGUAGUUCAGAAGGUUUUUAUGUAAGCAAGCUUCCGAUUUAUUAGAAUUCAAGGAAUCUAGAGAGACAUCUGAUUCUUGUCUUAAAUGGAAAAGGAACUAUAGUGGCUGGCCAGGGAAAUCCCAUUUUCCGGGAAAAAUGCGUCACAGCAACUGAAAACUAUUUCAUUUCUUGAUUCUUUUAUUCAGUAGACAUUUUUCAAAUUUUCCUUUGUGGUAGGCAGUAUGCUAAGUUCUGAAGAUACAGUUAAAUGCUAGAUAACGGUGUCUGCCGUUUUUAGGCAAGUUGGACAAGUAUAGAUUUUAAUUAGAAAAAGUUCACUUCAUCAGGGUGAGAUAAUACUAUGUUUUUCAUGAGUUCUUAGUUUUGUUCCAGUAGGAGGUAUAUCGAGGAGGGCCACAGACUUUUAAAAAGUCUUGAGGUUUCCUAGAUAUGUUUCUCAAAAUUACUUCGUACUUUACUAGGAAGAAGGCCUUUAUUUUGGUUAUUGAUAUUAAGGAUAUUUUAUUGACGAGCAAGGGAUAUAAAAUUAAGGACUGCUAGCUACUAAAUUAAAUUUGUAUGUGGACAUUCAUUCUUUGCAGUUUAUGGGCUGCAGACUUUGAGGGCUAGGGUUCCAUUUAUUGUGUAAGAGUUUCUACUGACUGCUUAAAAUCAAUUCUUGCAGCAUGGAACAAUUAGAAUAACAUGCCCUAUUUUUCUUUUUUUACUUUUUUUUUAAUGUUUGUUUUUGAGAGAGACAGAGCAUUAGUGGGGGAAAGGCAGAGAGAGAGAGAGGGAGACACAGAAUCCGAAACAGGCUCUAGGCUCUGAGCUGUCAGCACAGAGCCUGAUGCGGGGCUCGAACCCAUGAACUGUGAGAUCAUGACCUGAGCUGAAGUCGGAUGCUUAAUUGACUGACCCACCCAGCACCCCUAGGCUUUGUUUUUAUUGUGAGAAUAUAUUGGUACAUCUUUUCUACAGAAAAUUAGAGAGGAGAACUAGAGUUGGUGUAUGGAGUUCAUGUUUAUUGAACAUGGUAUUUUCUCUUCCAUUUCAGUAAAUAAACAUCUGAGUGUGAAGAAUAUUCUAUGAAAUGCUGGGCAAGAAUCCUAAUCUCAAGUAGAAUCUUAACCCAUAGUAGAAAUGAAGAGAUGAAAUGUAUAGAUAUAAGGGAUGCCUUAUAAAAAUUUGUCAUUGAAGAGUCAGAUGACUGUGUCUGCUGGAGAAAUUCAGGACGGAAGAGCUUUUGAGACAGCUUGGCAAAAAUGGGCCUCAGGGAUGAUUUUCAGCUUUCAUGUGGACAUGGGAAAAGAACAGGUUUGGUGAUGAUGCUUCAGUGUGGCAUAGUGGAGAGCACGAGAAAAAGAGUCCCGAUUUGCCUUUAUGUUCUAGGUCUUUUACUUACUGGUUAAAGGACUUGGGCAACUUACUUUCUCUGUCUAGAGCUCAUCUGUAAAAUAAAGUUAAUGGUAUCUACUAUCCAGGAUUACUAAACGAUUAGCAGUUAGUAAGGAUUAGUGUUCAUUAUAUUUUCAUAUAUAUAUAUAUAGAUAUAUAUACACACACACACACAUUAGUAUUAUAGUUAUUGUUUUAUAAUAUAGGCAGUUGAAAGAUCUUUUUGGUAUCUAUGGUCAUUUGCAAAAACAAUCAGUUUUUUCAGUUAUAAUGAUUACUAUUAACAUUGUUGAAAUUCAACCUCAUUCUCAAAAUUAAUCACAGUAAUUAUUGAUGGUAGCUUAAUUCGUGAGCAUUUCAGUGAUUUCAUAUGGUUGUUAUAAAGUUUGUUUUAUACCUCAGAAAAUGUUUCCAUUGCAUCCAUAUUUCAGUUAGAUGGAGAAUAGCAUCUGUUACAUCCAUUCCUUAAUUAACUGAGAAGAAAUGGAACACAGUUACUCUGUAAGAGUGGACUUGGUUGUCCUGUCUAAGCAAAUCUUCUUGUCUUAGGGGUAAGUCUUUAAUCACUAGUGGAUGUGUGGCGAACCAUUCUUUGGUCACUGAUGGAACAUAUUUUAAAGCAGUUACCAAGGCUUUGAAGCAAAUGAUAACUUUCUGCUUAUACAGCCCAAGUGAUGUCAGUGGAUAACGGGAAGAGGAUUUGAAGAAUUGUACUUAUUAGUUCCGUAUCUCUGAAACUUGAGUAUGCUUGAAAUGAUAUUUUUUAGUGUUUAUUUACUUAUUAUUUUGAGAGAGAGAGUAUGUGCUAGCAGGGGAGGGGCAGAGAGAGAGAAUCCCAAGCAGGCUCCACGCUGUCAGCCCAGAGCCUGACAUGGGGCUCGAUCUCACAAACUGUGAGAUCAUGACCUGAACCAAAAUCAAGAGCCAGACGCUUAACCAACUGAGCCACCCAGGAGUCCCUAAAAUGAUUUCUAAUAAACAACAACAACAACAACAACAAGCAUGGAUUCUCUGAACUUUUGUUUUUUUUCUGAUGGGAGAUCAUGUCUUUCUUUGGUGAUAUAAUUGAAUUCUCAGGGAAUUACAGUAGAAUGUAAAAAUCCCAAUAAAAUGUUUAAAAUUUAACUUGAACAUUAAUUAUUAUAACAUUGGAUAAUGUACAAAAUAUAUAAAAAGUCACACUUUGUAACAGUAAAAAUCAUGAAUGUGAUAGGCCAUUUUAGUUAGCAAAUAAUUUAGGAAGUUUUUAAAACUGGUUUUAGGGAAGUUAGAUAUAUUGGCUGCAUAAUUGUAAUUCACGAAAGGAGGCAUUUAUAUAGCUGUUUUUACCUAUUGAAAUGCCUGCAGAGUAUGCUAAAAAAGGUAACAGACUGUUCCAAAAAUUACCCUGUUUUUGCUCGACCACCGCGUAUUACAUGGAAGUGUUUGAAGGUGCUGUUUCCUGUUGUGCUCACGUUCACAUUGUGGAUUCAGAUGUCGAAUGGAUUCAGACUGUCGAAAUCCAUUCAUUCAUUCAUUCAUUCAUUCACUCAUUUGUGUUUUAUUAAUGUUUUCAUUGACGUUUUUAAUUUAUUCACAUCUUUUAAUGUACAUGUCAGUCUUACUCUGGGUGGGCCGUUUUUCACAGGUACCCACGGGAAGUGAAAAUAAUUCAGUAUUUUUAAGAGAAAAGGAAGAGUGCCUUACAUAAUAGACUGUGCUGAGUUAACUGAAUCACUUUUAUGGUUAUGUUUUGCUGAUCAAACUAUUGUGAAGGGUUAUUAGAAAGAUCUCACUUUUUAUAACUCUGUUUUGUUAGCCACGCUUUAAUAAAAGCUUAGAGGAAGAGUCUUGGAUUUUAUAAGCUUUGGAUGAUGGAGGCAGUAUAAUAGGAGACAUGUAGACCCUGACUUCACCAAGUUCUUCCAGUGGAGUCAAAUUAUCUUUGCUUUUCAUCCUCCGAGAAGUAUGGAUAUGCGAAAUACACUAGCACUUGGGAAUUACUAGGACAAGAAGGAACUCUGCUCGUAAUACAUUAACUGUUUGUUCAGCUCUGUAUCGUGCUUUGAUCGCCGUCAGACGGAGUGUCAUCCAUUAACCAAGAAAUAAGAGGAAUGCUGUUGGGAGUGUUGAACAAUGCAGAUGCUGCUGACCCGUUCAUUCCUAUGAUGAUCUCCAGGGUGUGUUUUGGAUACCUAUCUAUUUUUUCAGUUGAAAUCAGAAGAAGAAUCUUAAGAUACUUAAAUAUACCAAAUGAUCCUAAAAGUUACAAAUAUUUUACAUAGAAACACAGAAAGACUAUUAACAUUAGAUUGGUUUGAUUGACCAUUCUGUUCUUAAUUCUAAAAUUUUCCAAGGCUGAAAGCCACUACAAUGAAAAGAAUUCAAAUAUCCCAGGUAAUUGGGGAUUGGGCACCUGUGUUUUUUAGUCUAGAGGAAUCAUUAAUUGUUAUUUCAUUCACUUUAGUUAAUUAAUUAAUUUUCUUUUGAUUUGGGGGCUUCCUUAUUGAGGAUUUAGGACACCCUUGAUGGUUGGUUAUGUUAAUAUAAUGACGGGAAGUGGAACUAAGGGGGAUCCCUGUUACCUGGAAAGCCGUCUUUUCAGGAAAGCAUAGGAAGGGGUCAGGGAUACCAUGAGUUACAUAGUAAAAGUAUUAGGUACUAUGAGGUUAGUCACUGUCAUGAACAUAUUUUCUUUUAUUUAAUCCUUACAACCCUGUAACCUUUACAAGUGAGGACAUAAACUUUAAGGAGGAAAUUAUUAUAUUGUGUAACCUAGAUCAGUCAAUUUUAGUAUGUACUUUAUUUAUGUUUAAUUUAUGUUUAUAUAUAUGUGUGUAUAUAAAAAACAAAAGGCUUUAAAAAACUUUUUUUAAUGUUUAUUAUUUUUGAGAGACCAGAGAGACAGAGCAUGAGCAAGGGAGGGGCACAAAGAGAGAGGGAGACACAGAAUCCGAAACAGACUCCAGGCUCUGAGCUGUCAGCAUGGAGCCCAAUGUGAGGCUUGAACUCACGAACGGUGAGAUCAUGACCUGAGCCGAAGUUGGACGCUUAACUGACUGAGCUGCCCAGGCGCCCCUAGAAGGAAAGGCUUUUUAAAAAUACGUUAGAGCGUACUGUGUGAUCAGGAGAGAGUGGCAGAGGGGGAAAAAGAGAGAAUCUUAAUCAGGCUCCAAGCUCCACAUGGAGCCCGACCUGGGGCUCGAACCCAUGACCUGAGCCACAGUCGAGUUGGAUGCUCUAUUGACUGAGCCACCCGGGCACCCCUAAUGUGCACCUUUUUUUUUUUUUUUUCAUUUUCCUUUUUUUUUUUUUUUUUUCCUUUUCUUUUUUUUUUUUUUAUGUUUAAUGUUCAUUCUUUUUUGAGAGAGUAGGGGAGGGGCAGAGGGGGGUUGACAGAGGAUCCAGUGGAGGCUCUGUGCUGACAGCAGACAGCCCGAUGCAGGGCUCGAACCCAUGAACCAUGAGAUCAUGACCUAGGUCAGGUGCCCAGCCAACAGAGCCACCCAGGCACCCCCUAACAUGCACUUUUAAUAGCACAGUGAAUUUUGGUGUCUGUCACUCAUCUCAAUUGCAAGUGAGUAGUUACUCUGUUAGUCCUUGUCUUGUCUCUCUCCCUUGCUAGCCUGUGAGCUCCUUUAAGGGCUUGUAUGUCCAGUUAGGCACCAUAAACCAUCUGUAGUAGGAAAGUGCCUUCCGUUUAGUAGAGAAACUCAAAUAUUAAGUAAAUAAAUGAAUACAUAAAUGAGUUGCUCAGGGUUACUGAGAUAUCUGAAAUAAGGGACUGAAGUACCAAAAGGCUGGCAUUUGAGUCUGUGUUCUUUCCUUGCUCUAUUAUGUACCCUUUUGCUGUUUUGAAGUAGGUAGCGGGGAGAGACCUUCUUGUUUGGCCUUUCUGUAAUCCGUUCUUUGCAUUUGUUCUCUAUUGUGCAGUGACCAAAAGAUGAUUUAGGGUUUGAAGCAAACUUAACACUCCAGUUAUCUGCUGGUAAAUAUGAGUACGUGGCAGGUGCUCAGGACCAUGGAAUGUAAAACAAUUAUGAAUUGUAUUCCUUUUUCCUUACCGAGGAUCUUGAAGUUCAGUUAUGAUAGUAUAGCUUCGCAGAUAUGUAUUUCUAAAUUAGCAGACAAUUGUGUGUGUGUGUGUGUGUGUGUGUUUGUAAUGUUUAUGUAUUUUUGAGAGACAGAGUGAGAGAGCGAGUGUGAGUGAGCAAGCAGGGGAGGGGCAGGGAGAGGGAGACACAGAAUCCGACGCAGGCUCUAGACUCCGAGCUGUCAGCAUAGAGCCCGACACGGGGCUCGAACUCACGAACUGUGGAAUCAUGACCUGAGCCGAAGUUGGACACUCAACCGACUGAGCCACCCAGGCACCACAGCCAGUUGUGUUUUUGAUGCCGUUUAUCACUGAUGGGUUCACGAUUACCUGAAGGAGCCUGUGAAUUAAUAUUGGGGCGGUGUGAAUGCUGUAAAUAUCCACAGUGGCAUUAAGCUGGACAGGACAUUGCACAGUAACAACUACGCAUAGAGGUGCUAUUCGUCUUCACCCUAUGGUCCUCAGGGACUGUAACCUAACAAACCACGUGCUGUUGCUCUUUUACGUUUUGGAAACCCUAAUUCUAGGACAUUAGGCUGUGAUCUUUGACUUCAAGAAAUGAGGCAGGCCGUAGCUGUUUGUGGGUCCUUCAGGAUAGUCCUUACUUUCCUGUGAUUGUAUGUUAUUCAUCCAACCCAUCUUUUUAUUUUGUAUAUGUGUUUUCAUUUAAAUUACAUUUUUUUUCAACGUUUUAUUUUUGAGAGAGAGACAGAGCAUGAGCGGGAAGGGGCAGAGAGAGAGAGAGAGAGAGACAGAAUCCGAAGCAGGCUCCGGGCUCCGAGCUGUCGGCACAGAGCCCGACACGGAGCUGGAACCCACGAACGUUGAGCUCAUGACCUGAGUCAGAGUCGGACGGUAAACCGACUGAGCCACCCAGGCGCCCCUCAAUUACAUGUUCAGUGGUCUAAUUUUUAACCACAGAAGUCAGGUAGAUUAUUGUUUUGAUAUUGCCUGGCUGAUAUUUUUCUUGAUGGAUUUUAAAUUGAAUUUUUUGGAUCUUAUUUUCCCUAACCCACAUAGAAAAGUACACAUGUAGAAUGCACAAGAAAACACCAUAUGGCUUAAGAGCUUAGUAAUCAUUUAACCAGUGUAGUUUAUUUACUUGCUACUUUAAGUUUAAAUAUAGAAAUUUAAUUCCAGAUGUUUUUUAAAUACUAUUCAAAAUAUUUUGCCAGAUGUGUUAGGGAAAUGAUUUCUCAUAUACAAGGACAGUAGUGAGUAAAGUGAACGAAUCAUGGUUUUUAAAAAAAAUCCGAAUUUGAGUUCAGUGAUGCUUUUAAAGUAAAUUUACAUUGUGUUCAUUAUGCUGCGAUGUAUUAUCUGUGGAGAAACCAGUAGCACAUCUGUAUGUGACACAUUGUUUCGUUGAUGAAAUAUGCAUAUGUGUAAACUAUGUCAAAUUCACAAAUAUUCAACAAAAACUGAUGAAGACGUUAUAAAAGAAGUCCAAGUUCUUUUACUUGAUCUGUUCUUUUACAAGAUCUGUGCAGAGUAGGACAGAGAAAUGUGCAGCUUCUGAUCAUAUGCCGAACUCCUACUUGGGCAUUUCUGAAUGUAUUUGAGUAACACAGAGCAUGAGAAAGAACCAAGGCUUCACACUCUGUAUGCCGAUGCAGAAGGCUGUAUAUAGUUCAGUAUUAAGUAGUUUUAUAGAGCCAUGAAAUUCUUUGGAAGCAAAGUGGGGGAAGUGAAUUCUGUUAGAGGGGUUGAUGGGAAAAUAGUAUGGAAUUAGUAUUUGAACUCAUUUCUUCAAUUUCAUUAAUUUUUUAUCAAUUCCUUUUAGGCUUUUUUGGGUUGUAUUUUGUGUAGAGCUCGUGGAAUAAUCAUGGUUUAUUCCUCUGUCCGGAAAACUGUAGUUGUUGUUCUUUAUGUGCUGUUUCAAAUUCAAACCCUGUAUGGAAGAUAAUUCAGUGCUUUGAUCAGCUGAGUUCUCCUCCAGUCUGCGACCCCAAAAGAUUACAGUUGGAUCUUUUUUGAGCUUCUUUCUCAUAAAAAUUCAAUUUAAAAUAAUUCCAUGUUUUUCCUUCGUGUUUAGUAUAUUUUUAUUGACUAAAUUAAUUAAAAUUUAGUUUAUGUUAAGCUGGUACUCUUUUCCCCAAAGUGCUUUCUGAUUUUAUUUUUCUAAAUUAUAACCUAUAAUCCUGUCCGUUUAUUUGCUGUUGUUCAGUCAGGUGUUCUCUUAUGUUCCUGCUUGUACCAUUUCCUAUAGUCCCCUGUUUGAUUUUAGAUAGCAGCCUGUUCGAGCUAUGGCAACACCAGUUACAUAGGUCUUAUGAGAUGCUAGGUACUCAUCUGUGUGCUCUGCAAACACCACACAUUUAGAGCUCAGUCCUGCGAUGGAAACUCUGUACUUAACCUCUGUUAUACAGAUGAGGAAGCCAUGGUUCAGAAUUUUGCCUGAAUACAGCUAGUAAGUUCACUAUCAUAAAUGAAUAUUCAAAAAUCAGACUUAACAAUCAGUCAUAUUCUAAAAAAAAAAAAAUCAUUGUUUUAGAUGUCUGUGGAAUUUACUGCCUAAAUUAAUUCCUUCAGGAAAAAGUAGCUUCGUUAACAGUGAACCAUAUGCUGUCGCUCUUACUCUUUCCUUAAAACUAUCAUACUUGGACCUGGUAAUGAUCUCUGCUUGAGGCCGCAAGUUACCCUGUGGAUGGAUUUGUCAGAAUGAUCAUCUUGUUUCUUGUUACUGUUUUCAGUGAAACAAUUGUAAUCUUUUUUAUUUCACUUUUUAAAUAUUUAACCUUGCUUACUUAGUAUACUGUCAGUUGUAAAGUCUUUAAGGCAGAGUGUAUAAUAUGAAAUCACUUUAGCUGAGUGACACUGAGUCAGGGUUCUCUGUCCAUUAGUUUAUCUCAUUUUUAAGUGACUAACAAGUGAUCAUAGUAAUACCUACCUCUAAGGUUUAAAAGGAUUGGUUAACUUUAUGAGAAAUAAAAUGCUUAGUACAAGGCCAUAGAUGUCUUAAUGUUUUAACAGUAUUAGCUUUGACUUCAUUUUUGUAUCUUAUGCUGUGCUCUAGUAAAAAUUGAACAGCUAUGUGGCAUUUACUAUGAUUGCUAGGGAGUAUGAAGGUGAGUUUGAUUCUAAACUUCUUGAAGUUUUUUAGCUAGUAAUACAUAUCAGACUUAGUAUGACAGAAGACAAAAUGAUAGGAUGGGCACACAGGAAACAUCCUGAGAGGACCUGGGGAAAAUUUCAUUAAAAGAUGAAUUUUGAAACUAGGAUUUGGAUGAUUUGGAAAAGAAAAUGAGUAGAAAUGUGAAGUCUUUUUUUUUUUUUUUUCCUUUGUGCUAUGAGCAAGUAAAUAUUCCAAUUUAAAUUUGUUUUUAAUCUGUAUUGAUGUUUGAAAGAGAGCGAGCAUGAGUGGGGCAGGGACACAGACACAGACAGGAGACACAGAAUCCAAAGCAGGCUCCAGGCUCUGAGCUGUCAGUACAGAGCCCAGCGUGGGGCUCGAACCCACAAACUGUGAGAUCAUGGCCUGAGCUGAAGUCAGAUGUUUGACUGAGCCACCUAGGCGCCCUAUAAAUAUCCCAAUUUAAUAUUUUAAAACCAUCACACUGAAGUUUUUUUGUUUUUUGGGUUUUUUUUUUUUUAAUGUUUAUUUGUUUUUUAGAGACAGAGUGGAAGCAGGGGAGGGGCAGGGAGAGAAGGAGACACAGAAUCCCAAGCAAGCUCCAGGCUCUGAGCUGCCAGGACAAAAGCCUGAUGCUGGGCUCGAUCUCACAAACCCGUGAGAUCGUGACCUGAGCUGAAGUCAGAUGCCUAACCAACUGAGUCACCCAGGUGCCCCUUAAAACAUCACAUUUUAAAACAAAUGACUGUUUUUCUAUACCUUUCAUAAUUUCAUGUGUGCUAGAUGGUGAAGAGACUAGGACACAGUAUACAAAAUUUCACAUUGGAAUAGCAGAAGAAUUCUAAUAAUGCUAUGGGGAAGUGUUUCGUGGUUCCAUGGGCAAUAAAUAACUGCUUUUAUGUGAGUGAUCAUGAGCAGCAGAAACUUAGCCACAAGUUUCCAAAAGGAUUCCCUAACAGUUCUUUAUUUCUAUUCUCACUUUCUGUUUUUGUUUACUAUUAGCUGGCCACUUAUCUUCAAAUUUGCUGGGAAAUGAAAUUAAAAUCACCUGAUCAUUUUUGAUUGUUAUGGGAAAGUCUUUACGCAGAUUUUGCUCAGUCUCUUCAGCCUUACCUAUGGCAUCAUUAAGAUCAUAUUCCGCUUCCCAAACGGUCACGUCCGAAAUGAUUUCCACAAAGUAAAGCAGCUGUAGAUCUAGAGAAGUUGUACGGAUUGUGGUCAUCAUUAGAAGAAACCAAUAUUAUUUGGACGUAGUUUGGCCCUGACUGGUGAUACUUUAGUUUGGAAAUGCAGUCAUUACACUUAAAUUAGUGGAAUUACUAUAUAAAAAUUAGAAGGAGGGGUCCCCUGGGUGGCUCAGUCGGUUGAGCGUCCGACUUUGGCCCAGGUCAUGAUCUCGCGGUCCGUGAGUUCGAGCCCCGCGUCGGGCUCUGUGCUGACAGCUCAGAGCCUGGAGCCUGUUUCAGAUUCUGUGUCUCCCUCUCUCUCUAACCCUCCCCCGUUCAUGCUCUGUCUCAAAGAUAAAUAAACGUUAAUUUUUUUUUUUUUUAAGUUAAAAAAAAAAAAAAAAAUUAGAAGGAGGACAUACCUGACAGGCAUUUAGUAUUGUUUGUAGGCAGUUGAUGUUUCUUGUGAAAGAAAAGUAUUGAGGAUAGUCCUUUUGUUCUUAAGUUGGAAAAUAUUCGACAUAAGACAAAAGUUCUUCAAAUUUAAUAAAUUGCUUCAUUGUGCUUAAUUUAAUAAGCAUCUGUUGAAUGCCUGCUUCCUUGAGAACUUACUGGGAGUCUGCAACAGACUGAAUAUAUGCAUAUUCUGAUCUUCAUAUAUUAGAAAAUAAUUGGCUUUGAAAAUAUGAUUGUUGCAGGGCUCAAGUUCAAGUUAAAAGUUAGAGUCAGUGAGCAGUUAAAUUAUGUGAAAUCUGCUUUAUGUCCAGUCUCUCAAUGAACUUUUCUUAAGCUAAUUUUAGAUUGUGUAUACAGCUGGAGAUGGUUAUAUGUCUAAGCUUUAUUACUUGGCUAAAAAUACAUAUAUUCAUAAGUGUGUUAUUGAAACCUUGGUUUGCUUAAAUAUGUAACACUUUUGAAUUCCUUUCUUGGAAGUUUUGGCAUGGUGAACUUUCACAUUAAGAGCACAGUAGGGGGAGAAGUCUUGUGCUCAUUUGCCUGACUACAGAGGUGUAAUUAAAAGAGUUUAUCAGCAGGGGUUGAGACAAUCAGUGUGGUCUGAUGUUUCAUGUUAUAGAGUUACUUUGUUGUGCAGAUAGAUAACUGCAAUUAGAACAUAAUUUUAAACUUCCCAGGGCACUGACUCAUCAGGGUUUUGGUUUUAACCUCAAACCAGUCAAAAGCAAAUUAGUUCUUAAAUUUUGAGGAUUUUAAAAAUAUUUUUAUGUCACUGAAUAUAGUAGCUACAAAAAUGAAGUGGAUGAUUAUAAUUGAAGAGUAAUGGUUAGAACUUCAGGACGAUGAUUUGAUUAGCCCUAACUUAGUAAUAAUGUUGGAUGUAUUUAUUAUGCAUUAAGACCAAAUUUUAGUUUUGAUUCUCACCUAUGGAAAACUUUAGUAACUGAAGGAAUUCUGUGUGUUAAGUGGCCACAGGCUUAGCAUUUUUGUUUAUAUUUGUGUCCUUGAAAUUUGAUAGACACUUCUCUGAUCUAGAAAAAAGUCAUCUUGUAGAUGUAAGAGAUCUGUUUCACUGUGCUUCUCUGCCAGUUGUUGGUACGGUUCUUGAUGUAACUGAUUCGGGAAUUCAUUUAUGGAGAAAGAGCCCUGGACUUGGAAUUCAGACAUAGGACCAACACCAAAGAAGCAAAAGCCACAUUUACCAGAUAAUUUCGCUGUGUUUCCUUAUCUGCAUCCAGAGCCCCUCCUAGCUCUGAAUGCUAUGCAAACAAGAUGGGCUUAAAAUAUCAUAUGAAAAUUUUGAAAGGUAAAAUGGUAAAAUAGAAAAAGUUCUCAAGAUUCAAGUUCUCAGUGUUCUGUUUCUGGCUUUUUCACUGAUUUAUGCUAUUUUGGGGCAAUUUGCUUAAGGCUCUCGUGCAGGUGAUAUCGUAUGCUAGGAAUUAGUGUUGCCAGUGCAGGCUCUGAAAGUCAUUCUGCCUGGUAGAACACUUACUGUCUAAGUGACUCGGGCCAGCCUCACGUGUCUCAGCCUGUAGGGACAUGCUAGUACCACGAUAGUAACAAUAAUAGUGGUGCACUCACAGGGCUGUUAGGAUCGAGCGAGGUGGUGUUUCUGUAUUGCUGAGCACAGUACUUGGCAAGCAGUAAGUGUCUGAUACAAGUUUAGUUACUGUCAUAUCAUCACCCCCAUCAUUAGUUUCAUUUCUGAAUUUCUUCUUCAUCACCUGAGGCUGAAAGUUAUUUUGAAAUUGGUUAUUUCUUUAGAGUAUACUUGUCAAGAAUGGAGACCAUAGUGAAGUACUGUUCGUAGUUAUACCUACCUACUCUAUAGUCAGAUACGAAUGACAUUAUAAACUUGCUUUAUAUGCUCCUCAAUUUUAAUUUACUGUAUAAAUAAAGCUGUUCCACUUAUUUGAAUGCUGUCUUGUCAUUUCCAUCUCUUAAAAGAGUCAAGGUCCAUGGUUUUGAACUUUGAACAUAUGUAUACACAUAGUAAUUAUUUAUAUGUAAUUUAUCUUUGCUCUUACUUUGUUAUGUUAAGAUAUAACUUUAGUCCUGCAGUUUGAAAAAAAAAAAAAAAAAUUUGACCCGUCUAUUACUGCAUUCUUCUGACACAAUGAAAUAAGGCAGUAUGGAGGUGAUAAAGGAAAAACACCGUCUUUGGAUAUGAACAGCAGACCUCAUGAGCGUUAUUGGAAAAAAUCUGGGAAAGUUGACUAGAGAGGAGAACAAGAAUAAAAGGUUAAAGAUGAUCAAAUACAACUGGGAGCUUAUAUAUGAGGUCAAAAAGAAGCAGACCCAGAAACCAAGAUAUAUGGAGACUUAUUUAGACAGAAACAAAAAUAAUGAAACCAGCAAGGCAAUGUGGGGAAAGUUUCAGUAUACUAAUGUACUUACUAUUUAUUUUUUAAAAUUUACAUCCAAAUUAGCAUAUAGUGCAACAAUGGUUUCAGGAGUAGAUUCCUUGAUGCCCCUUACCCAUUGAGCCCAUCCCCCGUCCCACAGCCCCUCCAGCAACCCUCAGUUUGUUCUCCAGAUUUAAGAGUCUCUUCUGUUUUGUCCCCCUCCCUGUUUUUAUAUUAUUUUUGCUUCCCUCUCCUUAUGUUCAUCUGUUUUGUCUCUUAAAGUCCUCAUAUGAGUGAAGUCAUAUGUUAUUUGUCUUUCUCUGACUGACUAAUUUCACUUAGCAUAAUACCUUCCAGUUCCAUCCACGUAGUUGCAGAUGGCAAGAUUUCAUUCUUUUUGAUAUACUCCAUUGUAUAGAUAUACCACACCUUCUUUAUCCAUUCAUCCAUCGAUGGACAUUUGGGCUCUUUCCAUACUUUGGCUGUUGUCGAUAGUGCUGCUAUAAACAUGGGGCUGCAUGUGUCCCUUUGAAACAGCCCACCCGUAUCCCGUGGAUAAAUGCCUAGUAGUGCCAUUGCUGGGUCGUAGGGUAGUUCUAUUUUUAGUUUUUUGAGGAACCUCCAUCCUGUUUUCCAGAGUGGCUGCACCAGCUUGCGUUCCCAUAUUAAUGUAUUUCAAUGACGCUCCUCAAUAAUAAGAGCUCAGUUGUUCACUGGAGUAAAUAUUUGUUAAAGGCCAGAUAGAUAUGGCUAAAGUCAGUUAUGUACAUAUUGUCAAGAAUAUAAAAAACAAUGAGCGAUGGUUCUGGUAAUCAAUUAGGGUUGAACUCUCUAAAAGCUAGAAUAAGACAAUACACAGGUUAACUAUAAGUUGCAGUAAAGUUAUAGGUAUUAGAGUCCAUGUUUGUGGAUAGGCCAAUUUAUUUACCACAUGGAAUGACUAUAAGCAAGAAAUGGCACCUGAAAUUAGUGUGGAUUGAAUGGGUAUAUGUAUAGAUGGUCCUUGUCCUCAAGUUGUAAAAAUCCACACAUCUUGAGAAAACUCAUUAAGGAACAAUAACAGCUGCGACAUAAUUGUAGACCAGUUUAGAGAAGGGAGAUAAUGAGCUCCAGUUCAGACACGUUGAGUUGAAACUUGAGAGUGCAUGGACUUCCACAUGUCGAGAUGGCAGUUAAAUUUGAAGGCCUAGGAAUCAGCAGGGAUGAUUGUGCCGGAAUGUAAAUUUGGGACUAUGUCAGUGGAAAAGAAAAACCAUGUUCCUCUGUGUUGCUGAACAUUUGGUGACACAUAAUAUAAAAUGACAUUGCCUUGGGUAAUUAUAAAGCAGGCAUUAUAAUAAUUAGUAAUAAUGAGCUAAUUUUUCCACAUCUUAUCUCUGCUGUUUACUCUUGAAAUACUGUCUGAAACGUAACUGUAGAAAGACUUAAUGUCUUGACCAUAGUUUCUAAGAGAUACACCAUUUUGGAUGUACAUCCAUUUUGCCAUCCCUCCUCUGUGCUCCAUUUCAGCCUUUUAUUUGUCCUAAAUUAUUUAUUGAAGUGAGAAAUUUAGGGAGUAGUUUGUUUUUUAAGUUUAUUUAUAUUGGGAGAGACAGAGGGAGAUGGGUGGAUUCCUGAGCAAGCUCCGUGCUGUCAGUGUGCAGCCUGAUGCAGGGCCUGAUCUCACCAACCAUGAGGUUGUGACCUGAGCCAAGAUCAAGAGUCCGAUGCUUAACUGACUGAGCUACCCAGGUGCCCCAGGAGUAGAUUCUUAGGUAUUGGGUACAGAGUAUGUACCCUAAUUCUACUGUAAUUUCUUACUUGUUUUUUUAUGACUGAAAGAGAACCUUUAUGAAUAGGCUUUAUUGACUUCUAUAGUAUUUGCCAAUUCCAGAUUGCCUUUAUUAUCCAUUUCAAAAACAGAAAAAGGACACAGGGAGAAAUUAUAUUUGUGUUAAAUAAUUACUAGGCGUAAAUAAUCACUCUUGAAGGAAUUUGCUUAACUCUGCCUGAGUUUACAAUGUAUUGUGAUUGGAUAAAUGUGGCCUCUGGGUAGAGUGAUCUUAAAACCUUUUUUUAAGAAUCAAGUUUGGUAACGUUCAUGGAUUAAAAGUAUGUAAUUCUGUGAAGUGUGAGGUUGAAAGCUGCCCCCCUCCUUCCCACCGAGAUUCUUUGAUAUUUAUUCCUUAUUCUACCUUGUGGCUUACCUUGCCAACAGUGGAUUUUUUUUACUUUUCAUCUCUUUACACUGUAAGAACUCAGUGGGCCCCUUUCAUUCGGAAGCUCUUACCCUUCAGUUUUAUUUUGAAAGUAUGUAUUAUGUUGGUGAUUUUUCUCCCUUCUUCCCUUUUCUUUUUUCUUGGUGAGAUGUCUGUCAUUUAGUUUCUAGACCUCUUGGACUAGUCUUCUAAUUUUUAUAGUGUUCUUUACCAUUUACCAUCUUUGUCUUUACUGCUCCCUGGAGGGAGAGUUUUUCAAUUUUUAUCUUCCAAUCUCUUGAUCAGGUUUUUCAUUUUUACUAUUAUAUUUUUAGUUUUUCAAGUUCUGCUCUAUCUUUGGAAUUAUUUCAACAGUAUCCUUGACCUGUUUCAGGGACACAGUGUGUUUUCUUAACUCUCUGCAGAAGUUAGCUUCUUUCCUAACUUUUUGGCCAGUGGCUGCUCUUCGGUUGUUUUCUAGUUGUUUGUUGGGCCGGUCAGACUCGCCGAGACGGGCCUUCCAUCCCCUCCCCUGGCGCGGGCGGCACAGCUCAGCCUUCAGUGCGGAAGCGUCCCGCUAACUGCCCCUCAAAACUCAGUUCUGUAACGAGGAACAUUUCGAGGUUUUUGCGGGGAAUUGAGGAGUGCCGGCUCUUUGGGGAGAGGGGAUGUGCAGGAUCGGCUGCUCCUUCGCGAGAAUUCCCUUGUCUUCCGGUUCUUAGCUCCACCUUCAGCCCUCCUACUAUUGCUGCCAUUUCCUCAGCUUUUUGUGGGGGAGAAGGAGGGUGGGUGGAAGGAUCUAGGAUUUGCUAAAUCCCUGACUGCUUAUCCAUAUGCUUUGUGGUUUCUAAAUUGUUUCCUUUCCCAUUUUCUUUUUCCUUACGACUUUUGUACAUUUUAAACUCUACGGUAUUCUAGAAUUUUAGGAGGGAGUGAAAGUAUAUGCUUAUAAUAAUUCCACCACCUUUAUCUUUGUCUAUAAAUUUUUGUUCUUUCGGGUGUUUAUUUAUUUUUUCGAGUGUUUUUAAAACUGUAAGUAAAACUUUAUUUUGAAGCCUACGUUAGGGUAGAUGUAACUUUCUUUUGUUUUUCAGUUUUUAACUGGCACUUAAGUUGUUGAAUUAAUUAAGUAUACAUUUACCAUGGUGUUUUUACACUUUAAAAUUUUAUUCCUUUGGUAAAGCACAAUGCCACAUUAUACUUCAACUUUAUUCUCUCUUCCUAUCGUGCAAAUGCUAUCUCUUCCUUUUCAAAUCCUUCGGCUUUUUGUCUUUUCGUGUAGAAAAGUUUCUGUGGUAAGUCACGAUUUUAGUUUCUGUACUUAGGCCUUUCUAAAUAUUUUGGAUUAUAUAUAUAUGUUCCUCAGUUAUGCUUGUAUUAAUAUCUGUGUGCAUUAGUGUCUUACAUACGUGAGCGCACACGCAUGUACACGCACAUUAGCUUUUAGUGUCUAUGUCUACUAAUUACAACAGCUCUAGGUUGGUUUUGAUUGUUGUUGUUGUUGUUUUUGUCAUGGAUGUUGUAUUUUCCUGCUUCUUUCCAUGUCUUUUAAUUUGUGAUUAGAUGCUAGAUGUAGUAUGACUUUUACCUUUUUGGGUGGAUAUUUCCUAUUCCUGUCAGUAUUCUUGGGCUUUGCUCUGGGACACAGUUGAGUUAGUUGGAAACACUUUUCAUCCUUUUAGGUCUUGCUUUUAAGAUUUAUUUGGACAGUCCUGGGACAGUGCUCAGACCAGCUUUAGUUACUUCCCACUGCUGAGGCAAGCCCUUCUGUAUACUUCACCCGGUGUCUGUGACUCGUGAAGUCUCUCAGUCUGGCUCAUUGAGAACCCACCACUUUUACCUUGAACCCUACCCUUUGGCAGGUUCUUUCUCCAGCCGCCAGUAUUUCCUCUCCCACACAUGCACCGAUCAGUGUUCAGCCGAGCAUUUGAGCAGACCUUAUACACACCUCCAGGAUUCUUUCAGUGCAGCCCUUCCUAGGACUCUUCUCUGUGACCUCUGGCUGUGUUGGCCUCCCUGGAAUCUUCACGUAGUCUCCUCAACCCAGAGAGGCAGCCUGGCACCCUUCCCGGGGCUGUAGUCUGGAAACUCCCAAGCCAGAGAGCUGGGGUAAUCCUGGGGUUUACUUAAUUGAUUUGCCAUUUCUCAGCCCCACUGGCUUUACUGCCUGUGACCUUCAGAGGCUUGAGAACUGUCAUUUUUUGGGUUUUACCUGUUGUAUUGGCUGUUUCAGCCAGGAGAGUGAAUCUUGUCUGUGUUAUUUUUAUCUUGGUAGAAGUACUGUUUUAUCUUGGAAACAGAGGUCCCUUGUUCGUGUGACUAUUGACACACUUUUUUAGGUUCAUCAGAAAAUACAAGUAACUAUCAAAAAAUUAAUAAACAUAAAAAAUUAUAAAUUUUGUUGAAAAAGUAUUGUCAACAUUUUUCAACAUAAAAGUUAAGUCUUUCUUGCUACAGUAGAGUUACGUGUAUGCGCAUUUUAUGUUCUUUGGCAUGCAGAGAGCCCUGAGGUUCUCAAUUUUUUCUCGUCGUUUCAUGGUGUCUGUCCCCUAGGCAAAAAGAAAUGCUUAAUAGGUUAUUUUUAUUAAAUAAUUACUUCCAAACAAUUAGUAUUUAUACCAGUACACACUGAAAAAAACUAAAUUUUAUUCAUAAAUUUAAAUUUUAAUUCACAUCAUUUAUUAAUGGGAUCCCUAAUUUUCUUGGGCACCAAUCAGAUUUGGCAAACAUUAGGAUGCAUUUUCAUACUAAUGAUAUUAAUAGAAAGUACAGGCAGAAACGUAUACUUGACUGUUAGAAUUUAUUUCUGUCCUUACUGGUUAAGGUCCAUAUUUUUUCCCUAGCAUGACCUUUGCAAACAUGUAAGUAGAGAGCUUUUUUAUGUUAGUUUUAUUAAUUUUUGCCAGCUUUUUUUCCCUUUGAUUGAAAUCUCACAAUUUAGUAAAUAGAGACCUUUAAGAGGAAAGUACAACAGUGAUAUGUAUUAUCUGUUGUUCGUGUAGGGUGCCUUGCACUGAGCCAGGUACAUUUAUAUAUACCAUUUUUAUAUUUAUUUUUAAUUGGAUACUGUUUUUGAUGCUUUCACAAAUUUUGAAUUAAAAUUUUGAAAAGUAUUAUCCCUGAAACUUAAAACAAGAAGGAAUUCUGAAAUUAUUAGAUCUUUGGUGAAAGGGAAACGUGGCCAACCCUACUUCUAAACCUCCCUGUAGCUCCACUAUGUUUCCAACCUGGGUAUCCCUCACUAAGUGAUUUAAAGGCAGUCAGGGAAAUAAAACAUUGAUGUUUUCUAUGAAACUAGCAGUUGUGAGUUGAUACAGAUAGUGACCUUAUGGUUGACUUGUUAAAGCAAGGCUGAUGGCACUACAGUUACAUGUAUUCCUUAUGAUGAUUAUAAGUGAAAAUGUUUCCAUUUGUCUUACACAGUAAUGUUUCUUUGCAAAAUGCUGUCCUAAUCUUGAAGUCAGCCAAUGUUACUAA
Panthera uncia (snow leopard) is the source of this 32280-nucleotide long non-coding RNA. RefSeq lists it as uncharacterized. The record is from RefSeq and is a predicted model, not a curated record. Lineage: Eukaryota; Metazoa; Chordata; Mammalia; Carnivora; Felidae. The transcript has 2 exons.